Molecule: long non-coding RNA, 948 nt
Filed under: Calidris pugnax (ruff)
Lineage: Eukaryota; Metazoa; Chordata; Aves; Charadriiformes; Scolopacidae
Description: lncRNA (ENSCPUG00000007120.1)
Source: RNAcentral
AUGUCACUCUCUGCAUGGAAGCUGUCACCCAACUCUGAACCUGAAAUGCACCCAAGCUGCGUGCAUGAAGAUGGCUCCAACCUGAAGGCUCCUUUCCCACAGGGAUAUUUGGGGGAUGAGACAGGAGAGCUGGGCCAAGGACAGAUGGAACACAGAUGCCACCUGCAGACCUUGAGCAUGUCUCUUACCAUGUUGCAACUGAUUCCUCAGGUAGGAUUCAUCCAAAUGCUAGUCCCUGCCAGCCUCCUUCCCAGCCUGAAAUCCAGGUCCUCAUCCUAGACUAGUGGCCAAAUGGCCUGUGCCCUACAAACAUACACAUCUCUUCCCCAGUGAUCCGAGGGCCAUCAGUUGGUGGGAGGUGUCCACAUCAGAGCAGUGAUAGGAAUCCCUCUUGCCGAGCUUCCGUUUUAUGAUUCAAUAUUUGAGUCUGGAUGAUUAUUUUAACAUUAACUUCUCCACACCUCCAUUUCCCUGGCUGGGGGUAGGACAGCUCUUGCCACAGAGGGAUAUUUCCUUGAAACUGCAAGGAUGUGCCACAGAGAAAGGCACAAAGACGUGAAAGAAGGAGGAUGCUCUGUGCAGGCCCUUGGUACUGAUAUUGCAGCUGGACCCUGGGGAUUCAGAUCGUGCCUGUUCAGUGGAGAAAGGCUGCGUGCCACAGUGCCAGCCUGAUGGGCGCAUUUGGCCUCAUUUAAAUGCUCCACACAGGAUUCAAGUGCCCAGCUCUGUGGCUGGACUGUCACAUCCCACACAAAACAUAGGAUUCAAGGCUGCAGCAAAGCAGUGCCCCAGACCUUCCUGGAGAUGGAGCAGGAGAGGGUUGUGGUGUGUAUUCACAUCGAUGUCCGUGCCACCAGGGAGGCAAGCAGCUGGGGGUACAACAUCCCUGGGCAAAGGGCGAGUGCAGGCAGGAAGGGGUCCUGAGAAGAGGACUGCCCUUAGGUGAGA